GUUCCGUAGGUGAACCUGCGGAAGGAUCAUUACAGUAGUCACCCAGGUUGCCGCAAGGCCUCCUGGGUAACCUACCACCCUUUGUUUAUUACACUUUGUUGCUUUGGCAAGCCUGCCCUCGGGCUGCUGGCUCCGGCCGGCGAGCGCUUGCCAGAGGACCUAAACUUUGUUUGUCUAUACUGUCUGAGUACUAUAUAAUAGUUAAAACUUUCAACAACGGAUCUCUUGGUUCUG
This 234-nucleotide unclassified non-coding RNA is filed under the name plant metagenome. RNAcentral's name for it is "partial contains small subunit ribosomal RNA, internal transcribed spacer 1, and 5.8S ribosomal RNA". The record is from RNAcentral.